This 145-nucleotide microRNA precursor is filed under the name Gossypium arboreum. RNAcentral's name for it is "MIR7502 microRNA precursor family". It matches the Rfam family "MIR7502 microRNA precursor family". Lineage: Eukaryota; Viridiplantae; Streptophyta; Magnoliopsida; Malvales; Malvaceae. RNAcentral also lists the same sequence under 1 other name. The record is from Rfam by way of RNAcentral.
UGUUAUAAAUUCCAUUCAUUUUUACUGUUAAAAACUUAUCCAUAUACUUCAGUAUGAUGUACAUGUGACAUGCCAUGUGUCACUAUCUAAUUAUUCUAUCAACCACACCACUUUUUAACAAUACAAAUGGAUGAAAUUUUUAACU